CCCUUAGAUGUUCUGGGCUGCACGCGCACUACACUGAUGCGAUCAACAAGUUUUUCCUAUGUCGAUAGACACGGGUAAUCUUUUGAACUCGCAUCGUGAUGGGGAUAGAUUAUUGUAAUUAUUAAUCUUCAACGAGGAAUUCCUAGUAGGUGCAAAUCAUCAGUUUGCAUCGAUUACGUCCCUGCCCUUUGUACACACCGCCCGUCGCUGCUACCGAUUGGUUGAUCUGGUGAAUUAUUCGGACUGCCGGCUGAAGGGGUUUCCUCAUCUGCCAGCGGAAAGUCUUGUUAACCCUAUCAACUAGAGGAAGCAGAAGUCGUAACA
Molecule: ribosomal RNA, 324 nt
Filed under: uncultured eukaryote
Lineage: Eukaryota
Description: partial 18S ribosomal RNA
Rfam family: Eukaryotic small subunit ribosomal RNA
Source: RNAcentral